This 400-nucleotide ribosomal RNA is filed under the name uncultured bacterium. RNAcentral's name for it is "bacterial SSU rRNA". It matches the Rfam family "Bacterial small subunit ribosomal RNA", at positions 356 to 773 of the family's 1533-position model. The record is from RNAcentral.
AGGGAAUAUUGGACAAUGGGCGAAAGCCUGAUCCAGCCAUGCCGCGUGAGUGAUGAAGGCCUUAGGGUUGUAAAGCUCUUUCAGCGGGGAAGAUAAUGACGGUACCCGCAGAAGAAGCCCCGGCUAACUUCGUGCCAGCAGCCGCGGUAAUACGAAGGGGGCUAGCGUUGCUCGGAAUCACUGGGCGUAAAGCGCACGUAGGCGGCUUUCUAAGUCAGGGGUGAAAUCCUGGAGCUCAACUCCAGAACUGCCUUUGAUACUGGAAAGCUUGAGUUCGGGAGAGGUGAGUGGAACUGCGAGUGUAGAGGUGAAAUUCGUAGAUAUUCGCAAGAACACCAGUGGCGAAGGCGGCUCACUGGCCCGAUACUGACGCUGAGGUGCGAAAGCGUGGGGAGCAAAC